This 253-nucleotide ribosomal RNA is filed under the name uncultured bacterium. RNAcentral's name for it is "partial 16S ribosomal RNA". It matches the Rfam family "Bacterial small subunit ribosomal RNA", at positions 524 to 776 of the family's 1533-position model. The record is from RNAcentral.
UACGUAGGUGGCAAGCGUUGUUCGGAAUUAUUGGGCGUAAAGGGCGCGUAGGCGGUUUGUUAAGUCGGUUGUGAAAGCCCGGGGCUCAACCCCGGAGAGUCGACCGAUACUGGCAGACUAGAGUACGGAAGAGGUAACUGGAAUUCCCGGUGUAGCGGUGAAAUGCGCAGAUAUCGGGAGGAACACCGGUGGCGAAGGCGGUUCUCUGGGCCUGUACUGACGCUGAGGAGCGAAAGCGUGGGGAGCGAACAGG